GGGUUGUGAGGUUAAGCGACUAAGCGUACACGGUGGAUGCCCUGGCAGUCAGAGGCGAUGAAGGACGUGCUAAUCUGCGAAAAGCGUCGGUAAGGUGAUAUGAACCGUUACAGCCGGCGAUGUCCGAAUGGGGAAACCCAGUGUGAUUCGUCACACUAUCGUUAACUGAAUACAUAGGUUAACGAGGCGAACCGGGGGAACUGAAACAUCUAAGUACCCCGAGGAAAAGAAAUCAACCGAGAUUCCCCCAGUAGCGGCGAGCGAACGGGGAGCAGCCCAGAGUCUGAAUCAGCUUGUGUGUUAGUGGAACGGUCUGGAAAGUCCGACGGUACAGGGUGAUAGUCCCGUACACCAAAAUGCACAGGCUGUGAACUCGAAGAGUAGGGCGGGACACGUGGUAUCCUGUCUGAAUAUGGGGGGACCAUCCUCCAAGGCUAAAUACUCCUGACUGACCGAUAGUGAACCAGUACCGUGAGGAAAGGCGAAAAGAACCCCGGCGAGGGGAGUGAAAAGAACCUGAAACCGUGUACGUACAAGCAGUGGGAGCACCUUCGGGUGUGACUGCGUACCUUUGUAUAAUGGGUCAGCGACUUAUAUUCUGUAGCAAGGUUAACCGUAUAGGGGAGCCGCAGGGAAACCGAGUCUUAACUGGGCGUUAAGUUGCAGGGUAUAGACCCGAAACCCGGUGAUCUAGCCAUGGGCAGGUUGAAGGUUGGGUAACACUAACUGGAGGACCGAACCGACUAAUGUUGAAAAAUUAGCGGAUGACUUGUGGCUGGGGGUGAAAGGCCAAUCAAACCGGGAGAUAGCUGGUUCUCCCCGAAAGCUAUUUAGGUAGCGCCUCGUGAAUUCAUCUUCGGGGGUAGAGCACUGUUUCGGCUAGGGGGUCAUCCCGACUUACCAACCCGAUGCAAACUACGAAUACCGAAGAAUGUUAUCACGGGAGACACACGGCGGGUGCUAACGUCCGUCGUGAAGAGGGAAACAACCCAGACCGCCAGCUAAGGUCCCAAAGUCAUGGUUAAGUGGGAAACGAUGUGGGAAGGCACAGACAGCCAGGAUGUUGGCUUAGAAGCAGCCAUCAUUUAAAGAAAGCGUAAUAGCUCACUGGUCGAGUCGGCCUGCGCGGAAGAUGUAACGGGGCUAAACCAUGCACCGAAGCUGCGGCAGCGACACUAUGUGUUGUUGGGUAGGGGAGCGUUCUGUAAGCCUGCGAAGGUGACCUGUGAGGGUUGCUGGAGGUAUCAGAAGUGCGAAUGCUGACAUAAGUAACGAUAAAGCGGGUGAAAAGCCCGCUCGCCGGAAGACCAAGGGUUCCUGUCCAACGUUAAUCGGGGCAGGGUGAGUCGACCCCUAAGGCGAGGCCGAAAGGCGUAGUCGAUGGGAAACAGGUUAAUAUUCCUGUACUUGGUGUUACUGCGAAGGGGGGACGGAGAAGGCUAUGUUAGCCGGGCGACGGUUGUCCCGGUUUAAGCAUGUAGGCUGGUUGUCCAGGCAAAUCCGGAUAAUCAAGGCUGAGGUGUGAUGACGAGGCACUACGGUGCUGAAGUAACAAAUGCCCUGCUUCCAGGAAAAGCCUCUAAGCAUCAGGUAACAUCAAAUCGUACCCCAAACCGACACAGGUGGUCAGGUAGAGAAUACCAAGGCGCUUGAGAGAACUCGGGUGAAGGAACUAGGCAAAAUGGUGCCGUAACUUCGGGAGAAGGCACGCUGGUGUGUAGGUGAAGUCCCUGCGGAUGGAGCUGAGACCAGUCGAAGAUACCAGCUGGCUGCAACUGUUUAUUAAAAACACAGCACUGUGCAAACACGAAAGUGGACGUAUACGGUGUGACGCCUGCCCGGUGCCGGAAGGUUAAUUGAUGGGGUUAUCCGUAAGGAGAAGCUCUUGAUCGAAGCCCCGGUAAACGGCGGCCGUAACUAUAACGGUCCUAAGGUAGCGAAAUUCCUUGUCGGGUAAGUUCCGACCUGCACGAAUGGCGUAAUGAUGGCCAGGCUGUCUCCACCCGAGACUCAGUGAAAUUGAACUCGCUGUGAAGAUGCAGUGUACCCGCGGCAAGACGGAAAGACCCCGUGAACCUUUACUAUAGCUUGACACUGAACAUUGAGCCUUGAUGUGUAGGAUAGGUGGGAGGCUUUGAAGCGUGGACGCCAGUCUGCGUGGAGCCAACCUUGAAAUACCACCCUUUAAUGUUUGAUGUUCUAACGUUGGCCCUUACCGGGGUUGCGGACAGUGUCUGGUGGGUAGUUUGACUGGGGCGGUCUCCUCCCAAAGCGUAACGGAGGAGCACGAAGGUUAGCUAAUCCUGGUCGGACAUCAGGAGGUUAGUGCAAUGGCAUAAGCUAGCUUGACUGCGAGCGUGACGGCGCGAGCAGGUGCGAAAGCAGGUCAUAGUGAUCCGGUGGUUCUGAAUGGAAGGGCCAUCGCUCAACGGAUAAAAGGUACUCCGGGGAUAACAGGCUGAUACCGCCCAAGAGUUCAUAUCGACGGCGGUGUUUGGCACCUCGAUGUCGGCUCAUCACAUCCUGGGGCUGAAGUAGGUCCCAAGGGUAUGGCUGUUCGCCAUUUAAAGUGGUACGCGAGCUGGGUUUAGAACGUCGUGAGACAGUUCGGUCCCUAUCUGCCGUGGGCGCUGGAGAAUUGAGGGGGGCUGCUCCUAGUACGAGAGGACCGGAGUGGACGCAUCACUGGUGUUCGGGUUGUCAUGCCAAUGGCACUGCCCGGUAGCUAAAUGCGGAAGAGAUAAGUGCUGAAAGCAUCUAAGCACGAAACUUGCCCCGAGAUGAGUUCUCCCUGAGACUUUAAGUCUCCUGAAGGAACGUUAAAGACGAUGACGUUGAUAGGCCGGGUGUGUAAGCGCAGCGAUGCGUUGAGCUAACCGGUACUAAUGAACCGUGAGGCUUAACCUUACAACGCCGAAG
Molecule: ribosomal RNA, 2919 nt
Filed under: Klebsiella pneumoniae
Lineage: Bacteria; Pseudomonadati; Pseudomonadota; Gammaproteobacteria; Enterobacterales; Enterobacteriaceae
Description: bacterial LSU rRNA
Rfam family: Bacterial large subunit ribosomal RNA
Source: RNAcentral